RNAcentral lists this long non-coding RNA (487 nucleotides) under Rattus norvegicus (Norway rat). RNAcentral describes it as "long non-coding RNA NONRATT003502". Lineage: Eukaryota; Metazoa; Chordata; Mammalia; Rodentia; Muridae. The record is from RNAcentral.
AUGGUCCAGCUGAGGUUUUGCGUCCUAGGCAGCAUAGCCGGAUCGGUGCUCCGUGCAUCGGCUACUUGGACGUGCGUGGCAGGCAGAGCAGGCCGGAAAGGAGCAGGUUGGGAGUGUGGUGGGGCCCGCAGCUUCAGCAGUGCCGCGGUGGGAGACACCAUUCCCUCAGUGGAGGUAUUUGAAGGAGACAGAUUUACUACUAGAUGAUUCUUUGGUGUCUCUCUUUGGGAAUCGUCGGCUAAAAAGGUUCUCCAUGGUGAUAGACAAGGGCGUAGUAAAGGCACUGAACGUGGAGCCGGAUGGCACAGGCCUCACCUGCAGCCUGGCCCCCAACAUCCUCUCACAACUCUGAGGCCCUGACCAGAAUGUCCUCUGACUCUCCCAUCUCCUCCACCCAGCUCUGGGCCAAAGGCCCAGUACCUCCUUACCUGAGGGCCACUGGAAUGGAACCUUGACAAUAUUUCUGCAAUAAACAGUUUAAUUUGUG